UCCCGUUAGGUCCUUUCUGCUACCGUGCAGCCGUGGCUGUCCGGUUUUAACCAGUAUUUUUGCUGGCACUCAUUUAGAAGACGUCAAGUCCGUUUAUGCUGGAGGUGAGCAUACCUCCCUCUUCCGGACCAUCCUCCCUCUUGUUGCUGAAAGAUCGCCUCCGUCCCUGACGAGCCAAAGAAGACAGUGACUACCAGGAAUUCUGGUCCUUCCUGCUUUCACUCGCAGGCCAGGAUACUUCCCAUGGCACGCCUCUUCGCCUCACACCGCAGGGCUGGAGUCUGUAUUCCAGAGAAGGCGCGGCUCUGUUCCCUCUAGAAAGGAUAUCUUGAAUGUUUGGUGAGCACACUUGGCCUCAGAGAAACUCCUGAAAUUUUAAUGUGUUUUCUUGUCAAUCAAACAGAUGUCCAGACUCCUGUUGUGCUUCUGUGCCCUGGAGCUUAACUGCCUUCAGCAUUGCUGGUAUGAGGUUGUCCUUUCUUAAUGGGCCGCCAGGGACCGAGUGAGAGCUGAAUCCUGGCUGCCUAGUACCCCUGUGAAAAGGGAAGGAGUCCCCACCGGCAGGGAGACAAUGCACAUAUCAGACCGUUGUGGUGGCAGAAGAUCCAACAAGUGAAAUAUUCAGAGGAAGCUGAGGCAGAGGCCACACCCCAGGAGCCAGUGAAUGAUCUGUGCAACCCGGGUUGAAUACGACUGCUGGAGAGAUGAAAUUGGAGUCACUGCCCCCAUGCAUAACUCAGGCUCCAAGUCACAAUGCGUUUUAAAAGGAAGUCACCAGCAUUUUAAUCCUCCGUUAGACGCGUACACACCUACACAACUGUUAUCAGAAGAAAAG
Non-coding RNA from Vicugna pacos (alpaca), 835 nucleotides. Lineage: Eukaryota; Metazoa; Chordata; Mammalia; Artiodactyla; Camelidae. The record is from RefSeq and is a predicted model, not a curated record.